CCGGAAGACCAAGGGUUCCUGUCCAACGUUAAUCGGGGCAGGGUGAGUCGACCCCUAAGGCGAGGCCGAAAGGCGUAGUCGAUGGGAAACAGGUUAAUAUUCCUGUACUUGGUGUUACUGCGAAGGGGGGACGGAGAAGGCUAUGUUGGCCGGGCGACGGUUGUCCCGGUUUAAGCGUGUAGGCUGGUUUUCCAGGCAAAUCCGGAAAAUCAAGGCUGAGGCGUGAUGACGAGGCACUACGGUGCUGAAGCAACAAAUGCCCUGCUUCCAGGAAAAGCCUCUAAGCAUCAGGUAACAUCAAAUCGUACCCCAAACCGACACAGGUGGUCAGGUAGAGAAUACCAAGGCGCUUGAGAGAACUCGGGUGAAGGAACUAGGCAAAAUGGUGCCGUAACUUCGGGAGAAGG
This 407-nucleotide ribosomal RNA is filed under the name Escherichia coli. RNAcentral describes it as "partial 23S ribosomal RNA". It matches the Rfam family "Bacterial large subunit ribosomal RNA", at positions 1337 to 1746 of the family's 2925-position model. Lineage: Bacteria; Pseudomonadati; Pseudomonadota; Gammaproteobacteria; Enterobacterales; Enterobacteriaceae. The record is from RNAcentral.